GAUGAACGCUGGCGGCGUGCCUAAUACAUGCAAGUCGAGCGAACGGACGAGAAGCUUGCUUCUCUGAUGUUAGCGGCGGACGGGUGAGUAACACGUGGAUAACCUACCUAUAAGACUGGGAUAACUUCGGGAAACCGUAGCUAAUACCGGAUAAUAUUUUGAACCGCAUGGUUCAAAAGUGAAAGACGGUCUUGCUGUCACUUAUAGAUGGAUCCGCGCUGCAUUAGCUAGUUGGUAAGGUAACGGCUUACCGAGGCAACGAUGCAUAGCCGACCUGAGAGGGUGAUCGGCCACACUGGAACUGAGACACGGUCCAGACUCCUACGGGAGGCAGCAGUAGGGAAUCUUCAGCAAUGGGCGAAAGCCUGACGGAGCAACGACGCGUGAGUGAUGAAGGUCUUCGGAUCGUAAAACUCUGUUAUUAGGGAAGAACAUAUGUGUAAGUAACUGUGCACAUCUUGACGGUACCUAAUCAGAAAGCCACGGCUAACUACGUG
This 497-nucleotide ribosomal RNA is filed under the name uncultured bacterium. RNAcentral describes it as "partial 16S ribosomal RNA". It matches the Rfam family "Bacterial small subunit ribosomal RNA", at positions 28 to 507 of the family's 1533-position model. The record is from RNAcentral.